UACACAAUACUUUUCCCAGACCCCACGGUGUGGGAUAAUACUGGGUCUGUAGUUUCAGUUAGUAGUGCACAUUAACACGAAAUAGUAUGUUUUAGAACAUUCUGACCGCGCUUACCACAAAUAAGUACAUUUCAAAGUCAGAAGACAUGCAUGUUGACAUAAUCAAUUAAAGAGUAAAAUAUAAAAUUUUGAAGCACUUGCUUUAUAUUUUAAUGAAAUCAUAUCUAAAAUUGAAUAACAUCGAAAUAUGAAAUCAUAAUAGAGGUGUACUUAUGGGACAAUAGAGGUAGCAUCUUGUUACAGAUGGUUUCUGCAAUUCUCUGUCUGCUACUAUUCUCAGUAAACUUAAUGCUAUGUUUGGCAUUGGAUAAGAUAUCUGAACAUCAACAACUUCAAGAUGAUCAAACUAUCGUAUCAGCAGGAGGUAUCUUUGAACUUGGCUUCUUUAGUUUUAAUGAAUCAGAUGCACGAUAUGUUGGAAUAUGCUACGAGGAACUCCCAGCCGAAAAGGUUGUAUGGGUAGCAAAUGCUGGAACUCCUCUGAAUGAUACAUCUGGAGUUCUUAUGAUCGGAAAUGAUGGUAAUUUGGUCAUUGUUGGUGGUAAUAAAACCAAAGUAAUUUGGUCCACUGAAGUUGCCUUCACAUCCAAUCACACUGGUGCAGUGCUUCAUGAUUCAGGAAAUCUUGUUCUUAUGGAGAACAAAUUGAAUGGGGUAGUAUUGUGGGCAGUGGCGGAUCCAGAAUUUUCAUCAAGAGGUGUUAAAAUAUAAAUAAUUAGAUACAUCGAAAAGUUAAGGGGAGUCAACGUCUAGUAAAUAUACAUAAAAUAAAAAAAUAUUAUCUAGCAAAAUAGUGUAAUUUUCCGGCGAAUGGAUGUCAAUGUGGCUCCGCCACUGAUUGUGGGGGAGUUUCAAUCAUUUAUCGGACACUUAUUUGCCUCAAAUGAAGUUGGGACUGAAUAACAUAACAAGCGAAAAAACAUACUUAAGGUCUUGGAAGAGUGCACUUCAGGAUGUGGGAAAGGCUUUAAAGACAUGACAAAGAGGAGAAAAAGAAUGAUAAUUUCGUUAGAUUCUGUAGCAGGUACCUUGUUGGGAAUGGAAAAAAUCCAGAAGUUCCAUUUUUCAACUUGCAUACAAUAGAAGCUGCUAUGGAUCGCUUCUCCAAUGCAAAUAAACUUGGACAAGGAGGAUUUGGUCCAGUUUACAAGGGAAACUUACCAGAUGGACAAGAGAUUGCUGUUAAAAGACUUUCACGACAAGGCAUAGAGGAGUUUAAGAAUGAAGUCAUAUUAAUUUCUGAACUCCAACAUCAAAACCUGGUCAGGUUACUAGGAUUUUGCAUCCAAGGGGAGGAGAAGUUGCUGGUAGCCCAACAAAAGCUUGGACUCUUUCAUUUUUGGUUUGUUCUUUGAUAUUGAUUCUUCAGCUUUAGUAUCCUGCUAUUAGAGAUUUUAAGCAGCAAAAGGAGCACCAUCUUUUAUCGCUAUGAAGGAUCUUUCAGGCCAUGCAUGGCAGUUGUGGAAUGAGGGAAAGGCAAUCGAGUUUUUACAUCCAACAUUGGGUAACUCAUACAAUCAAAUGCAAGUUAGUAGAUGUCUAAAUAUUGGCCUCCCAUAUGUCCAAGAUCAUCCAGAUGAUCGGCCUAUUAUGGCAACAAUAGUUUCAAUGAUUUACAGUGAGGUGAUCUUACCAUCUCCGGAAUGAAUCAAGUUUAUCAUGACGGGGUCCACACCCAUUAAUAGAAAAAAAAAAGAAAAGAAAGGGAAUUGAACCAAUCUGCACUGCAGAUUGUAUUGUCCAAGUUGUAAAGUGAGAUUCAAUCUUCCGAUUGGUUAAUUGGGGCAGCCAUCCUCUCUAUAUAAGGAGAGCUUCAGUUCUCAUUUUAUACACCAAUCUCAGAGGAAAAAUAUAUAUGAGAGUUAGAAAGAAAGAGUGAGAUUUCACAGACAGGGUACAAAAAAAUAGUCUGUGAGAAAAAUAGAGAGUGAGCGAUAUUGUAGUGAGGUGCGAAUAUCAAAAGAGGGUUAUUUCU
This is a long non-coding RNA of Nicotiana tabacum (common tobacco), 2035 nucleotides long. RefSeq lists it as uncharacterized. Lineage: Eukaryota; Viridiplantae; Streptophyta; Magnoliopsida; Solanales; Solanaceae. The record is from RefSeq and is a predicted model, not a curated record.